AUACAGAUGACGCGUUCGAAACAGGACGAAAUGCGCAUCCUGCAU
This 45-nucleotide non-coding RNA is filed under the name Trichobilharzia regenti. Lineage: Eukaryota; Metazoa; Platyhelminthes; Trematoda; Strigeidida; Schistosomatidae. The record is from RNAcentral.